This 85-nucleotide transfer RNA is filed under the name Jaminaea angkorensis. RNAcentral describes it as "tRNA-Ser". It matches the Rfam family "tRNA". Rfam says of the family: Transfer RNA (tRNA) molecules are approximately 80 nucleotides in length. Their secondary structure includes four short double-helical elements and three loops (D, anti-codon, and T loops). Further hydrogen bonds mediate the characteristic L-shaped molecular structure. tRNAs have two regions of fundamental functional importance: the anti-codon, which is responsible for specific mRNA codon recognition, and the 3' end, to which the tRNAs corresponding amino acid is attached (by aminoacyl-tRNA synthetases). tRNAs cope with the degeneracy of the genetic code in two manners: having more than one tRNA (with a specific anti-codon) for a particular amino acid; and 'wobble' base-pairing, i.e. permitting non-standard base-pairing at the 3rd anti-codon position. The record is from RNAcentral. Lineage: Eukaryota; Fungi; Basidiomycota; Exobasidiomycetes; Microstromatales.
GGACGCGUGGCUGAGUGGUCUAAAGCAUCUACCUUGAAAGUAGAAACUCCUUACGGAGUCAAGAGUUCGAAUCUCUUCACGUCUG